CCUACGGGCGGCAGCAGUGAGGAAUAUUGGUCAAUGGACGCAAGUCUGAACCAGCCAUGCCGCGUGCAGGAUGACGGCUCUAUGAGUUGUAAACUGCUUUUGUACGAGGGUAAACCCCGAUACGUGUAUCGGGUUGAAAGUAUCGUACGAAUAAGGAUCGGCUAACUCCGUGCCAGCAGCCGCGGUAAUACGGAGGAUCCGAGCGUUAUCCGGAUUUAUUGGGUUUAAAGGGUGCGUAGGCGGGUUGGUAAGUUAGAGGUGAAAUGUCGGGGCUCAACCCCGAAACUGCCUCUAAUACUGUUGGACUAGAGUAUAGUUGCGGGAGGCGGAAUGUAUGGUGUAGCGGUGAAAUGCUUAGAGAUC
Molecule: ribosomal RNA, 363 nt
Filed under: uncultured bacterium
Lineage: Bacteria
Description: partial 16S ribosomal RNA
Rfam family: Bacterial small subunit ribosomal RNA
Source: RNAcentral